GACGAACGCUGGCGGCGUGCUUAACACAUGCAAGUCGAACGGUAAGGCCCUUCGGGGUACACGAGUGGCGAACGGGUGAGUAACACGUGGGUGAUCUGCCCUGCACUUCGGGAUAAGCCUGGGAAACUGGGUCUAAUACCGGAUAGGACCACUGCCUGCAUGGGUGGUGGUGGAAAGCUUUUGCGGUGUGGGAUGGGCCCGCGGCCUAUCAGCUUGUUGGUGGGGUGAUGGCCUACCAAGGCGACGACGGGUAGCCGGCCUGAGAGGGUGACCGGCCACACUGGGACUGAGAUAUGGCCCAGACUCCUACGGGAGGCAGCAGUGGGGAAUAUUGCACAAUGGGCGCAAGCCUGAUGCAGCGACGCCGCGUGAGGGAUGACGGCCUUCGGGUUGUAAACCUCUUUCAGCACCGACGAAGCGCAAGUGACGGUAGGUGCAGAGAAGGACCGGCCAACUACGUGCCAGCCGCCGCAGUAA
Molecule: ribosomal RNA, 477 nt
Filed under: uncultured bacterium
Lineage: Bacteria
Description: partial 16S ribosomal RNA
Rfam family: Bacterial small subunit ribosomal RNA
Source: RNAcentral